Otolemur garnettii (small-eared galago) is the source of this 128-nucleotide small nucleolar RNA. The record is from Ensembl. Lineage: Eukaryota; Metazoa; Chordata; Mammalia; Primates; Galagidae.
GGGCUGUGCUCAGAGCAGGCAGCUAAAGAACGGCUCUUUUGUUUAUAACACACCCAUCAAGUAUCUGGGGUCAUUGUGAUGAGGGGCAUAUAAAUUGUGGCCUCCUUAUGAACAAAUUCCCUCCACAU